CGCCUUGCAGUUUGAUCUCAGACUGCUGUGCUAGCAAUCAGCGAGAUUCCGUGGGUGUAGGACCCUCCGAGCCAGGUGUGGGAUAUAGUCUCGUGCUGCACCGUUUUUUAAGCCGGUCUGAAAAACGCAAUAUUAGGGUGGGAGUGACCCGAUUUUCCAGAGCCCCUGAGGAAAGGAAGACAACAAAAAGGAGAGUUAAUUUAUAGAUAAAGAUACACUUUUGGAGUUAUAAGAAGUAGUUCUCAGUGGCCAGUGAACUUUUCUAAAAUCAUAUGCGUGACCUUUAAUGGCUAAUGGUUUUCCAGCCUAAUGAGAAUAUUUUUAAAUGAGUCAAUUUCAACUCUAACAAUGACAAAAUGAAAAUAACUUAUAAAAAUAUUGCCUGCCACUUGGACUUGGAACGUGCCUAUCUAGACCUUCUGGAGCAUUUCAGCUUUGUUGCAGCCAAAAAAAAAAAAAAAAGCCUAUGGGUUUUUGGAAUCUUAAAUUCACAGAUCUUUAUUCCUUAAUACCUAACUCUAAGCUAAAACCUGAUACUGUCUACAUGCUUUAUUUCAGCUUCAGUAAAGCUGUGGUGAAACAAAAGCAGCCAUAAAUUUAAUGAACAGGACAUCAACUCUGGGAUUGUUGCAGAUAUUGGCAAACACUUCCCUUUGGCCACAAACUAUAAAAGCAUCAGAGAUGCUAGCUGGAUAAUCUGGGUCACUUACAGGUAACCACAGACAGGGCUUAUUAUUUGAUAGAAUUAUUUGAAAUUGAGCUUCUUGGUGAUUAUAUCUUUAUUUCUGACACAAAGACUCAGUAUAUUCUUAGCUUAUGAUUACUGUUGAAAGCUGCAAGUAGAGGGAAGGAACAUCACAAGGAAUGUGACUCCUUUACCCAUUCCUAAUGGGUUAGGAUCUCAACUACCUCCUGGGAACAACUAGAUGCUGUUGAUUAGUUGUGUUCAGCUUUCCAAGUUAGUUACAGGUUGCAACAGUAGACUCCACUUUCACCUCUCUGGGUACAUAAAUCUUAGUAAAACAAUUUGAUUGUUAAAUGCAGCCGUCCCCAGAAAGAGAUUGAUCUCUUAUAGGCUGUUCACUAGAUAAAAGAACAGGACAAGAGGUGAAAUUUUAUGAAUAUUCAGAAUUUUGACCUUGCCAAUUCCUGAAUAUGGUGUGUCUUUUUGGUUUGGUUGUAUUAAAAUAUUUUUCUACCAAAAUAAUUUUGUACUUCAUGCAUACGAUCCCUCCAGAAUAAAUGUCUAGGGGACAGUAUGGGAUAAUUAAAAAAAAUGAAAAGUGAUGAUUGCCAAGUGGGACAUUGAUUUUGUAACAAGGACAAAACAAAAUUUGGGCACCUAACGAGGCAUGGAAGAGGGAAUGAGCAUUAAUGAUCUUUCUUUUAAAAACUACUCCUAAAAGCUUUCCCUUUCUCCUAAAGAAAGAUGUCUGUGCUGCCUUUCCAAGAUGUUCAGAGUGCUUUAAAUUCAAACUGACAGCUGAGUCUACAACUGACAGCUUGCUAACUAUGAAAAAGAAGGAGGUGGCCUUAGCUCCUGUAAUUUUUAUGAAGAACACCUCCAGAUGUUGUCUACACACAUGCAAUGGAUAAACUGAUGUCAUGAACAAGGAAAAUUGUUAAAACUGACUGCUUUCAGGCACUCUCUCUGAAACCAAGGACAGAAUUAAAUCAAAUGGACUGGGCUGGGAACCGUAGAGGAGGAAGCCCCAUGGUGGGAGGCCACAUUGGCCCUAUUAACCUAUUCUACAUGACUAACAUAUAUCUUGUUUGGAUUACCUUAACAAUUGUAAAGUCUUUAUUUUCAGGGAUACCAUGUGUGACCUCUGAGAUUGUAUUUCUUGUGCAUACCCUAACUAUCAUGAUGCUGCCUCAGACCUGGAAGGUUUUUGGGUCAACUUCAACUUACUGGCUAGAUUUGUGCUGUGCCUGACUUGAUUCUUCAUGCUAGGUUAAAAAAAAAAAAGCUAAUGCAAAAACUUAAGUAGAAAGCCAACUGGAUUUCUAAGAUAGACCUUUAUGGUUACUGAUACUCAUUUUUGCUAGCAAAAUCCAGGACCCUAAAGAGGUAACUGAAAUCAGUACUGAGAUUGGUUUCACUCUGUUGCAUGAGAUACUCUGAUAAUUUUGUUGUAAAGAUGUUUUCCUUGACCAAGUCGAAGGGACAGGAGCCCAGGAGAUGGACUGUGCAAAAAAGAGUUAACAUGGCAAGCCUGAAACUGCUAACAUUAGAAAGGUCUACUUGCAAGGCUGGCCCCUACUGACAUCUGAAAUCUUCUAUUUCAGAGCGUUCCCACCAUUCCCUAACUGAUAAGAAUUGCCCACUAUGCCUAAAUAUUUUGUACAUACAAUAUGAUUUAUGCUGAACAACUGAUUUACUUCUGGGAAUCUGAAAUUUGGGUAUGUUGCCUAUGUAACUCUUUGUAAAAAACAUUAGAUUCUUAGGCUUAGAUAAAUUUCCCUGAUAGGCAGUAUUUCACUUGUGUUGUCACAAUUGCAUGUUGGAAGAAUUUACUCUUCUCUGUGUGACUCCAUGAAAUGAGGGCUCUGGGAAGCUUAUAUGUGGUUUCCUCUGAACUUGAUGACACAUGAUAAACAUAGAGCUACUUUAUAAUGCAGCAGUUUCACUACUAGAUUUAUUCAUAAAAGACAAUGUACACAUAUACAAAAACUUGUCCAUGAGUGUUCACAGCAGCAUUAUUCAUAAGAGUCAAAAAGUAGAAACAACCCAAAUUUCCAUCAUCUGAUAAAUGAAUAAACAAAAUGUGAUGUAUUUAUAUGAUGAAAUAUCAUUAACAAUAAAAAUGAAAACAUUACUGAUAAAUGAUGCAUCAUGAAUGAAACUUAAAACCACUAUACUAAGUGAAAGAAAUCAGUUACAAGAUAAUUUAUUUGUGAUUUCAUUUAUAUGAACUGACCAGAAUAAACAAAUUUAUAGAGGCAGAAAGUGGUUGCCUAGGGCUGGGGUGGAAAGCAAGAGAAAAUGACUGUUAAUGUGAUUUCUUAUUUUUGAGAUAAACAUGUUCUAGUAGUUUGUGGUUGUUGCACCACUUUGGAAACUGACUCAAAACCAGUAAAGUGUGCACUUUAAAAGAGUAAAUUUCAUGGUAUGCAAAUUACAUCUCAAUAAAGCUGCUAAAAUUUAUCCCAAGUGAAAUAUAUUUGUACAGUCUAACUCAAGUAUGUAUAAAAAUUCAAUUUGUAGGUAAUAAGAUAAAGUAUUCAAAGACCAUUCAGGAGAGAGAAACAACACUGAUUAUUGGAACAGAGAAUUUUAUAUAAAGAAUUAACAUUUAAAGUUGUUAAUGAAGUAAAUGAAUAUGUAAAAAAGAGCUCUAAAGUGUCUCAGAGGUAGUAAAAGCAGAAAGCAAAUAUCAACUCUAAAAUUGCGGAGCAAAGAGAAGAGGUAGAAUUAUCACAAUUUAGAAAAUUAGAGGAGGGUCCCAAGGCAGCUGAAACAGACCUCUGAUGAGAGAGUUUUGCCUACCUUGGGCUUUUGUCUCUGAAGUGGAUGUGAGGGGAAUGAAAAACCUGAUUCUGCAAGUGUUGAAGAAUCUGCAACAGGAUUCAACAGUUGCUAUGAAUGAAAUAGCUAUGCUAAGGUGAUGCUCACAGGAACACAAAAUAGGAAGACAGACUCUCUUUUUUUGUACUCUAGCCUUGCGGUUUAUUUCAAGUGCCCUUGUAGGUGAAGCAUUAACAAAUACCAGCUGGCAAAACAGAAAUGUGAUUUGAAGAAUUCCAGGUUCAGCGUUACUAAACUGAUUACAGUCGAAUGGGUUUCGAGUUGAAGACAUUAGCUGAAUAACUGAGGCAUAGGCUAUCACACUAACUUAAUAAUUAAAGGCAGAACUGUGAUUCAUUCCAAAAAUUGAAAGCUAUGGGUUUAAAUUUGCUAAUAAUUUCACUUGUCUAAUAUAGUGUAGAUAGAAAUGGAUUUCAUUUCCUGAUUUUGUCUAAACUUGCUGUUGUUGCAUUUUUCUUACUUUACAUGAGUGGCCUUCUGCACACAGGCUAAUUAUUUGCUUAAGUUCCACUAAAAAUCAUGAUAAAGUCUUGUACUUAUGAGUAAUUCAUAUGGCCUGCAUUGGUUUUAUAUGCUUUAUUUAAUUCAUGAUUUUGCUAUCUAUUCAUAAAGCCACAAAUCAAAUUACAAUAAAAAAUAGCUUGAAGUUGUAGAAUAAUUUUGCCAGAGAUCAUAAACUGCACGUUCGUAGUAAACAUUUUUGAAUGUAAAUCACCUAGUUACCUGUGUUCUACCUGUGUUCUACUUAUUCUGCUUAAGUCUAUAGAGUACAUUUGGAAACACUGGAUGAUUUUUAAAUUUUUCCAUGUGUGAAGUGUUUCCUUAGCUGAACAGAAAGAUUUUUUUAAAGGAGGAAAUUCAUGAAUUUUAAAUUGAGAUUUCUGUCAAUGUUUUUUUCCUCUUCAUAACAGUACAGAGAAAGCUGGUAAGAUGGACUAGUUAAUGAACCUUUUCCCACAAGCUGUAGAAGGAUAAUAAGAUUCUUGUUUAAGACGAAAGAAACAUAAUAUAUUCAGAAUGUAACUUUAAUAUUUGAACAAAUAGAAAAAUAUGUACAAUAAACAUUUGGUUUUAUAGAGGGAAUUGUGUCCACCACCAAAAUUAAUAAUUGAAGAUCUAAUCCCAAUAUGACUAUAGGUAGAGAAAGGACCUUUCAAGAGGUAAUUAAUGUUAAAUGAGGUCAUAAGAAU
RNAcentral lists this long non-coding RNA (4719 nucleotides) under Homo sapiens (human). RNAcentral describes it as "HSALNT0283987". The record is from RNAcentral. Lineage: Eukaryota; Metazoa; Chordata; Mammalia; Primates; Hominidae.